Molecule: ribosomal RNA, 119 nt
Filed under: Pteropus alecto (black flying fox)
Lineage: Eukaryota; Metazoa; Chordata; Mammalia; Chiroptera; Pteropodidae
Also listed under: 1 other name
Source: RNAcentral
GUCUACGGCCAUGCCACCCUGAACAAGCCUGAUCCCAUCUGAUCUCGGAAGCUAAGCAGGAACAGGCCUGGUUAGUACUUGGAUGGGAGACCACCUAGGAAGACCAGGUGCUGUAGGCA